UACGGGGGGGGCAAGCGUUGUUCGGAAUUACUGGGCGUAAAGGGCUCGUAGGCGGCCAACUAAGUCAGACGUGAAAUCCCUCGGCUUAACCGGGGAACUGCGUCUGAUACUGGAUGGCUUGAAUCCGGGAGAGGGAUGCGGAAUUCCAGGUGUAGCGGUGAAAUGCGUAGAUAUCUGGAGGAAAACCGGUGGCGAAGGCGGCAUCCUGGACCGGCAUUGACGCUGAGGAGCGAAAGCCAGGGGAGCAAACGGG
This 253-nucleotide ribosomal RNA is filed under the name uncultured bacterium. Its description in RNAcentral is "partial 16S ribosomal RNA". It matches the Rfam family "Bacterial small subunit ribosomal RNA", at positions 524 to 776 of the family's 1533-position model. The record is from RNAcentral.